UACAUCUAAAUGUCUUUUAAAGACCUCCAGGGAUGGUGACUCUACCACUUCCCUGGGCAGCCCAUUCCAAUUCCUAACAACCCUUUUGGUAAAGAAGUUCUUCCUAAUAUCCAACCUAAACCUCCCCUGGUGCAACUUUCAACUAUUCCCCCUCAUCCUGUCACCAGGCACGUGGGAGAAUAGACCAACCCCACCUCGCUACAGCCUCCUUUAAAGUACCUGUAGAGUGUGAUAAGGUCACCCCUGAGCAUCCUUUUCUCCAGGCUGAACAAUCCGAGCUCCCUCAGCUGCUCCUUGUAGAUCUUGAUCUCUCAUUACACCAGUGAAAAUAAAUUUGGACUGAGAAAGAAUGGUCAGUUGACGAAUAUUUUGUUAGAGUAGAGAAUAUGACAAAAGAGAGUAAAGUUCUAUACUGACACAUGCCAUGAAGGACUCAUAAGAUUGUUCAAAAAUGCUAGAAUUUUCAACAGAAGCAGCAUGCCAUUUGGAAAAAUCUACAAGAAUGUUCACUUCAUCAGAAGGCUAUCAGGGUAGCUCCAGGAAAUUUAUGUGGAUUGGAUUCUGCAGCAUUUCAUAAGGCCACGUGGAAGACUAACAGAGUGCACGUGCUUGCUGGUGCUCUCUUCCUUCCUCCCCUGCUCUCAGCAUGGUUCUGCUUCCAGGGGUGAAUACCUUAUGCUCUUUUGUGCAGGGAGAAGACUUCAUUCCCCUCAGCUGCACCUUGGCUACAAAAUAAGCCUGUUGAAAUGGCAAAUGUGGUAGGGGAAUGCUGGUGAAGCAACUGAUACUUGUGGACCCAGGUUGUACUCAGGUUGUUUUGGAGAGCACUGCAGGUUGUCUCAGAGGUGCGAUGCGGUGCGAUGUCCUUUGGUGCAUUCAGGACAUUACCACAGUUGUUGAGUCCUUACCAGGCACGUUCAAAGCUACUCUGGACAUGGAGGAAAUAGGAUGCUCCUCCAGUAGCCAUUUUAAUGUGGUGGAAAAGGAAAGAAAAGAGCUGCAUUCAGCUUUGCAUCCAGAAACUCUCCUUAAAAAGUAUACAAAUAAAGCGAAACCCUUCAUAUGUGAAAACAACUUGGGAUUCCUUCUGACCAAAUCAGCAUACUGCACUGGUGCAAAGGCUACUUUGGACUAGCUGGUGUUUGGAUUGCAUUGUCCUGGCAUGAACCUUCCUCAUGCUUUUCUCCCAGCUUGUCCUGCUCCCCGGUUGUUUAAUGUGGGUAUGAGAAGUCUCCUUUCGCUGUCAAGAGUAAGCAGCUCUGGGGUGGGCUGUGCCAGCCAUUGUCCCACUAAAUAAAAUCCUUUCCAGGGGGAUGACA
Molecule: long non-coding RNA, 1319 nt
Filed under: Anas platyrhynchos platyrhynchos (common mallard)
Lineage: Eukaryota; Metazoa; Chordata; Aves; Anseriformes; Anatidae
Description: lncRNA (ENSAPLG00000022356.1)
Source: RNAcentral